UAUGUGUGUGAACUGACCUACCAUCCACCGUCCACGUCACCAGCGUUGUGUUGGAAGAUAACGGGUGUACAUAAGCCCCACGCAGAAACACACACACACACUUCCACGCAGCACUACGCCAGCCAACAUGAGGAUCGCCGUAGCCACUCUGCUGCUUCUGGUAGCUAUCGGAACCACUGACGCCUUAUGGUUCUUCGGCAACGGAGGAGCCAAAGACACAAAGGCGAACACGCACCAAGAGGACACCAAACACGUGGUGAAGAGGGAAGCCUUAAAGGAGGAGGACGAAGAGGAGGAGGAAGAGGAUGAC
Long non-coding RNA from Portunus trituberculatus (swimming crab), 310 nucleotides. RefSeq lists it as uncharacterized. NCBI's taxonomy places the organism in Eukaryota, Metazoa, Arthropoda, Malacostraca, Decapoda, Portunidae. The transcript is spliced from 3 exons. The record is from RefSeq and is a predicted model, not a curated record.